CAUAUCUAAGAGUUCUUGGGGUGUCUUUGCUGUGUUCCAAGCUUCUGUUCCCGGCUUGCUUCUCCCCCAGGCUUCUGUUGCUUGCUCAGUGUUCUGCUUUGGAUGUGAAAUGUUCCCCCAGGGGUUCGUGUGUUUGAAUACAUGAUCUCCGGGUAGAUGGUGGAACCUUUAGGAGAUGGAGCCUUACUAGAGAAAGUCGGUUACUUAGGGAGGGUCUUGAGGCUCUGUGAGUUUUUUGUUUGAGACAGGGUCUUGUGUGGCCCAUGUUGGAUCUAAAUUCUAUAGGUAGCUGAAGUUGACCUUCGACUCCUGAUCUUCCCGGCUCCAACUCCCAAGUGCUGGGACACAGGCGUGCACCGAUAUGCCCAGCUGACCCUUAUUGGAAUAUGUCCCCAGCACCAGGGUCCAGGUGGAGCCGGACGCCGCCCCCUGGUGGCAGUGCGAGUCUGCGCUCAGGGCUUGGUAAAGACCUUGCGGCGCCGCUAGCUGAUUGGCCGGCAGGGUAUCCAGGUGCUUUGCAAGUCGGCUGAUGCUGGUGGUCCUCAGACUGCAGCCCCGGCCCUGCCCCUCGGGAUUCAAGUCCAGACUGGGACCAGCAAAGCUGACUUGUGAACCUGGGGAGUUUCCCGUUUCUCUCCCAUUUUUGUUGUGGUCGUGAAUUCCUCCUGGACUCAGGAUGGCGAUCCGACACCAAGGCCAGCAGUACAGCAGUACAGCCUGAGGGUGACUGUCCUGCGAGGUCCUCACCUGGCCUUUCUGACGAGUGAGCAGGGAUUCAGUCUGUGGAGUGUCCAAGGAAGACUGCACAAGGCAGACGGAAUUCCUCCAGGUCGAUCCUCCCUGAUUGUGUAGGUGUCCAGAGCUGCCUCUUGGUCCUGAAUCAUCGGGACCUGCUGGGCAAAAUGUCAGAAAGGCAGCGCCUGUCACCAGCCACAGACUCAGAGACUGGUAAAUAGACACCCACGUGUUAAUUUCAUUGCACUCAUAAGUUGCCGUAUCUGACCAUGUGAUGUUCGAGAGUAAAAACAUUUUUCACAUGUUGGCCGCAAUACCCGCACAGCUCGGAAGGCCGUGGCCACCAUCUUCCACUCGCUGCCUCAACUUGUUUGGAUUUGAGUCGAAAGGUCAGAUCCUCCAACCUCAUCCGGUGUUCUUUGCUCUUAGAUAGUUAACCAGUGUGCUCAUGGACCAGUGAGGCAGCGGGUGAGGAGCUAAAGACGUGUUACCGGCUUUCUUAAAGAUGUCCCAGGCUAAAGUGGUCCAUCUAAGGCAGUUUAACAGAGCCCAGCUUGAGUGUUGUAGACUUACUGUGGACUGGGUCCCACCACAAAGACCCUCAGGGGUCCCUUGUCAGAUGUGCCCGUUUCCUGGCUGAGACGGGCCCUUUGGGCAGCCAGUGGCAGAGCUGGCUGUAGGCAGUGUAGCUAGUGUUAGCAUCUGGCCUGAGCUUCCCUGCCCAAAGAGGGCUGACUUGGUCCCUAAGACAGUACUGUGAUACAAUUGUCCUGAGUGCCAAGAAGUGAACGCCGAGAGGGUCACCCUGCAAAUGACCUAGAAGGGAGCAACGGGAGAAAUAUAAGGCUUCCUUCCCUGUUAGGUGGCCUGUCUGAGGAAAGAGUUUGCACUGAAUUUCCAAUUGUUUACUGGUCUGUUCCCACGGUUUGUUUCGCUUACCUGUUUAAUCCUAACUAGUACCACCUGCCCCGGGGUGGCUUCCGCAGCAAUCAACAAUCGAGAAAACGCGCCACCAAUAUGUUCCCAGGCCAGUCUCAGCUGAAGUUCUCUCUUCUUAGGCAAUUUUACUUUGGGUCGAGCUGGCAACACAAGCAACGUGAGGUGCCAAGGUGGACGCCUUUAGGAUAAAGGAAGUGCUUAAGAGUAGAUAUUUACUUUAUCUUGCAUGGAGUGCCAAUAAUGGAUUCGGAAAGAGCGGGACGUGGCUUCCACGGGUCCUAAAGGGUGUGGGAGUGUUCUGGCUGCAGGGAAGGUGGCAUGAAGGCGAACCAUGAACGUUCUGAGGAGCCUGUUUUCCAGGCCGGUUCUUACUAGGCACCACAUAGCUAUGUCCAGUGGGCCAGUUCUGUUUCUAGGUGAAGGUUCUGGGGGAUUUGAGACACACAUUAGCCUGGUACUGAGACUGUGAUAGGAAUGCCAGAUGUUUCUGGAUCCAGCUACUGGACUCUCGUGGACUCAGGCAUGUGAGCCAUGAAUGGUGGUGGGCUGUGUGUCUGCUGAAGAACGGAGUCCCGUGGUUUUGGAUCAUUCUUUGCAUCUUUCCACUGCCAAGUACAUGGUUAUGAUGGUCCCCUAGGGAGUCCUCUCCGGUUUAUAGGAAAAUUCUGGUCUUUGGGGUCUUUUGGAGAGUGACAGCUACUCAGAAAGCAGCUGUGAGCAUGGAAGAGCAAGGAGGCUUUUGUUUACUGCCUGGGCCCUUAUAUACACUCAGUGUUGUGUCUUGGUUAGCUGGAGACUGAAAGGGGACACCCUAGGCCUAGCAUAGACUCACAGGGGCUCUUGCUGCAUGUAUUGUGGCUUUUGGAAAGAAUUGUGGAUAGAUCAUGCUUCUGGGAGAACCAGGGAGCUGCGAUCCACUCAGUGGAUGAGGCGGUAUGGGGAUGUGGCACAGCCUAUGGAGAAGGGCGGAAAGCGCCACGUGCCUCGCGGAAGCCCCCAGCAGCGCCCUUUUUAGGGAGCUUUAAAACCGCGCUGGGUCUCCUGUUAUUGAAACAAAGGACAUGACCAAGGUCACCUUGCCAAGGUCAUUUCAGACCCAAGGGGGCAGUUAUACUUUCUGCAUUUUUGAUUUAUUGUAAUUUGGUUGGUCUUUGUCCCACCCCCAACAAUAUUCUCCUCCUCCAUGCCCUCUUCUUCCUUCUCCUUUUUUUCCUCUUUCUUCUGAUAAACAGCGUUUCACCUGCCCCAGAUUAUAUGAGUUCCACAUAGGGCUAAGGUUGAACUUAAAUGCCUUUGUUUAAAAAAAAUAUUUAUUUGUAUUUUAUGUG
Non-coding RNA from Myodes glareolus (Bank vole), 3002 nucleotides. Lineage: Eukaryota; Metazoa; Chordata; Mammalia; Rodentia; Cricetidae. The record is from RefSeq and is a predicted model, not a curated record.